CUUGGAUGUGGGGGUUUGUGCAGGCUGCCUCAGCGCGGUCUGCUCCCCUGAAAUGCAUUAGCGAGUUCAAACUGAGCUCCGUCUAUUGGUGUGAUAAUUAUCUACGCCGUGGAUGGUUCUUAGACUUGCUUCUAACCGUCCGCAAGGACAACUCUUGACAAUUUGACCUCAAAUCAGGUAGGACUACCCGCUGAACUUAA
RNAcentral lists this unclassified non-coding RNA (200 nucleotides) under soil metagenome. RNAcentral's name for it is "partial contains internal transcribed spacer 2 and large subunit ribosomal RNA". The record is from RNAcentral.